CUUAUCCAGGUCUGUGGUUGCGGAGGUGAUCUCCUCCUAGUUCAUGGCAGACGAGGCCAAAAGGAUCCACGUAAGUUCGGGCGUGCGCGCCCGAGCGAGCAUGGCUCGUCCUAGAAGUAAGACGCACCGCCCGCAACUCUUGAGGCAUACGGCCUCACGGGCGAGAGGGCCAGUAGUGGGGGGCCGUGUAGCCCCGAAGCGACCGUCCCAGUGUGCGAGUGUGGGGUCAAAUACCAGGUCAGCUGGAUAAG
This 251-nucleotide non-coding RNA is filed under the name Olsenella sp. KH1P3. Its description in RNAcentral is "raiA RNA". It matches the Rfam family "raiA RNA". The record is from Rfam by way of RNAcentral. Lineage: Bacteria; Bacillati; Actinomycetota; Coriobacteriia; Coriobacteriales; Atopobiaceae.